Zootermopsis nevadensis is the source of this 73-nucleotide non-coding RNA. The record is from Rfam. Lineage: Eukaryota; Metazoa; Arthropoda; Insecta; Blattodea; Termopsidae.
GCCACGGUGGUCUAGCGGUUAGAACGCUGGGCUAGUAAUCCUGGGGACUCGGGUUCGAUUCCCGGCGGUGCCC